AUGCCACAGACGCAUUCUCCACCUCGGUCGUUGUGCAGCCCCCCUCCUGAGCGGCUGCGACUUAUGUCCAUCGUUGUUCGGCCCUUCCCCUGUGCUAGCCUUUCCUCUUCGGGGCAUGGUGAUGAAUGGACGGAGGUCCAGUCGCGCAAAGAUCGCCGGCUCGGCCGGUGCCAUGAUGGCGUCCUCGGCCAUGACCCGCGGCCGCGCAAAGGCCACCGACCCGCCUUCAAUGCGAGCGCCGGGCGGGAGGCCUUCUUAAGGCGUUUCCGGGGCCUCUGCUUCAGAUGUCUCAGCUCCAAGCACCGGUGUGUAGACUGUAGGGAUCCAGUUUGCUGCAUCGAUUGCAAACUUCAAGGCCACACUAGCAAAGACUGCCCGAGCAAGAAGGGGCGCGCUCCUGUGAAGGCGCGGUUGGGCUCCCGCGUGGGUCGUGGCCCGAUCUGUGACCACAUCCGCUUCCCCUCGCCGCCGCCGGCGGUGCCGGACAAGACGAUGGCCCACCACACCGACCCGUUGCGCCGCCCAAGGUCCAGCCACAAGGUGGUGAUCGAGACGCCGGCUAUGGAGCGUCAGAUGUUCCUACUCUGUCGCCAUGCGGUGCUGCUGAUUUCCAUGGAGGAGCGCCAUGUUGCCAGCCCCAUGUCGGUGGGGCGUGCCUUCGACACGCAGCUGCGCAUGCCGGCGCACCUGCUGCGGGUCACGAGCCAUGAUCCGGAGGAUUUUCUCGUCCAUUUCGAGCUCCUGGCGCACAAAGACAAUGCCAUCGUGCACCUAGGCUCCAUCAACGUCGACGGUGUCAUCUUCAACAUCAAGCCGUGGCACGAGGACGACCACUUUGUGCAUCAGGAGUUUCUUCUCCACGUCUGCACCGUCAUCGAGAAGAUGCCGCUCCACCUUUGGUCUCUUGAAGGGGCGGCGGAGGUCCUCAGCGACAAGUGCAUCAUCGACCGCCUCGACAGUAGGAACCACGAGCGUGGGCACCUGAAGACCUUUGCAUGUUGGGUGUGGGUGUGGGAUGUGGCAUUCAUCCCCACCCGACACCAUCUGGAGGGCGCCGCAGGGUGCUGGCCGUGUGGAGGCCAUGUUGGGCUACUGGCCGCCAAGCCGAGAGGUGGCGCCGCUACCGCGCGUCUAGCGCCACGACAUGCUCGUCCACGUCGAUCGCGUCGAGGACUGGUCACCGCGCUCUUCGCAUUCCGUGCAGAGUGGCCUGCCCUUGUCGGAGUCUGA
Molecule: ribosomal RNA, 1230 nt
Filed under: Triticum aestivum (bread wheat)
Lineage: Eukaryota; Viridiplantae; Streptophyta; Magnoliopsida; Poales; Poaceae
Description: partial small subunit ribosomal RNA
Source: RNAcentral